CCUACGGGGUGCAGCAGUGGGGAAUAUUGCACAAUGGGCGCAAGCCUGAUGCAGCCAUGCCGCGUGUGUGAAGAAGGCCUUCGGGUUGUAAAGCACUUUCAGCGGGGAGGAAGGCGUUAAGGUUAAUAACCUCAUCGAUUGACGUUACCCGCAGAAGAAGCACCGGCUAACUCCGUGCCAGCAGCCGCGGUAAUACGGAGGGUGCAAGCGUUAAUCGGAAUUACUGGGCGUAAAGCGCACGCAGGCGGUCUGUCAAGUCGGAUGUGAAAUCCCCGGGCUCAACCUGGGAACUGCAUUCGAAACUGGCAGGCUGGAGUCUUGUAGAGGGGGGUAGAAUUCCAGGUGAAGCGGUGAAAUGCGUAGAGAUCUGGAGGAAUACCGGUGGCGAAGGCGGCCCCUGGACAAAGACUGACGCUCAGGUGCGAAAGCGUGGGGAGCAAACAGGAUUAGAUACCCUCGUAGUC
Molecule: ribosomal RNA, 464 nt
Filed under: uncultured bacterium
Lineage: Bacteria
Description: bacterial SSU rRNA
Rfam family: Bacterial small subunit ribosomal RNA
Source: RNAcentral